RNAcentral lists this ribosomal RNA (492 nucleotides) under uncultured bacterium. Its description in RNAcentral is "partial 16S ribosomal RNA". It matches the Rfam family "Bacterial small subunit ribosomal RNA", at positions 29 to 507 of the family's 1533-position model. The record is from RNAcentral.
AGUGAACGCUGGCGGUAGGCCUAACACAUGCAAGUCGAACGGCAGCACAGUAAGAGCUUGCUCUUACGGGUGGCGAGUGGCGGACGGGUGAGGAAUACAUCGGAAUCUACUUUUUCGUGGGGGAUAACGUAGGGAAACUUACGCUAAUACCGCAUACGACCUACGGGUGAAAGCAGGGGAUCUUCGGACCUUGCGCGAUUGGAUGAGCCGAUGUCGGAUUAGCUAGUUGGCGGGGUAAAGGCCCACCAAGGCGACGAUCCGUAGCUGGUCUGAGAGGAUGAUCAGCCACACUGGAACUGAGACACGGUCCAGACUCCUACGGGAGGCAGCAGUGGGGAAUAUUGGACAAUGGGCGCAAGCCUGAUCCAGAAAUACCGCGUGGGUGAAGAAGGCCUUCGGGUUGUAAAGCCCUUUUGUUGGGAAAGAAAAGCAGCAGGUUAAUACCCCGCUGUUCUGACGGUACCCGAAGAAUAAGCACCGGCUAACUUCGUG